This 21-nucleotide microRNA is filed under the name Prunus persica (peach). Its description in RNAcentral is "ppe-miR8126-5p". The record is from miRBase by way of RNAcentral. Lineage: Eukaryota; Viridiplantae; Streptophyta; Magnoliopsida; Rosales; Rosaceae.
UCUGAGUCAGAUUACUGAAUA